Molecule: non-coding RNA, 29 nt
Filed under: Rattus norvegicus (Norway rat)
Lineage: Eukaryota; Metazoa; Chordata; Mammalia; Rodentia; Muridae
Source: RNAcentral
UCUGUAUACAUAGUAUAAUUUUGGGGCAG